AUUAAGUAUAUAUUAUAUGAAACUUCAUCACAAUAUUUGUCUCCUACACAUUUUUGUCCCUGCUUGGCUUUUAGUAUUCUGAAGGAAGGGGCCAUUUUCUGUUCAUUUUAGUUUUCCAGUAUUUGGUAAGAAGAGCUAGGAUGUAAAAUUAAUAUUUUUUUCUUUUGUCUAUUCUUUUUCCUCCCCCUCCUCUACCCUCUCCUCUUCCUCCUCUACCCUCUCCUCUUCCUCCACUCUCUCCUUCUCCUCCUUCACCCCUCCUUCUGCUUCAUUCACUCCCCACCUCCUCCUGCUUCCUCCUCCACCCUUUCCUCCUCCUCCCCCUUCCUCUUCUCCUCUUUCUGUCUCUAUCUCUCUCUGAUGUAGAUAUAGAUGUAAUUCUUAAAACUAACUUAGUGGAUGGCCGAGGUGUAAUGCCAUUCCACAAAGCACGUUGAUGGCAGCGGCUGCUUUGGGUGUCUGGUUGAGGUAGAGGAAAAGUCCUGCCACCUGGUGGGAACUCAGGGCUUGAGACCCAUUUCUGCAUAGAGAGGAGGUGGCUGGGCUUCACUGUGUCUCUACCACUGGCACAGAGAUAUAGAGCUGUCUAGUUCUUUUGCACCGAUGUCAUGGUGAGAGAGAAGAAUGCCUUCUUCAUCCGAGAGGCACUGUAGCCUUCAGAAGUUAUACUCUUGGAAGACUACAUUCCUGAUCCUUCACAUGGAGUGUGCUGUGGAAGCUUCCUGAAGUCCUGCUCGGGGAUAUUCUUCUAAGGGUGUCUCCCCACCUCCCAACUGGCACCCAGCCACUGCCCUCCUCCACCCUAGCAGGGAGAGGAGGGCCAGAGCAUGUGAAAUAAUUUCAAAAUAUCAAAAGGCAGAAACAGAAAACAUAGUAAAGUGACAUGAUUUCUACCCCAUCCUGGUGAGGGCCCACUUCCUUGGCACAUAUACAUUUGAAGUGACUUUGCAUUCACUUGCCUUUUGAUUUUCUGAAAUUGUCCCAUCAAAGCAAGUGAUAAUAAACACUUUUCUGUAA
Canis lupus familiaris (dog) is the source of this 1017-nucleotide long non-coding RNA. RefSeq lists it as uncharacterized. NCBI's taxonomy places the organism in Eukaryota, Metazoa, Chordata, Mammalia, Carnivora, Canidae. The record is from RefSeq and is a predicted model, not a curated record. The transcript is spliced from 2 exons.